Rattus norvegicus (Norway rat) is the source of this 99-nucleotide small nucleolar RNA. Ensembl annotates it as small nucleolar RNA SNORA17. Lineage: Eukaryota; Metazoa; Chordata; Mammalia; Rodentia; Muridae. The record is from Ensembl.
CAGUGUCUGCUCACAACAGUAAAACCCUAAGACAGAGAGGCUACGUCUAUGCUCAGUGUUCCGACCUAGGACUACCUGAAUGAUUAGCAGCCCAACAUU